This 468-nucleotide ribosomal RNA is filed under the name uncultured bacterium. RNAcentral describes it as "partial 16S ribosomal RNA". It matches the Rfam family "Bacterial small subunit ribosomal RNA", at positions 28 to 507 of the family's 1533-position model. The record is from RNAcentral.
GACGAACGCUGGCGGCGUGCUUAACACAUGCAAGUCGAACGGAAAGGCCCUGCUUUUGUGGGGUGCUCGAGUGGCGAACGGGUGAGUAACACGUGAGUAACCUGCCCUUGACUUUGGGAUAACUUCAGGAAACUGGGGCUAAUACCGGAUAGGAGCUCCUGCUGCAUGGUGGGGGUUGGAAAGUUUCGGCGGUUGGGGAUGGACUCGCGGCUUAUCAGCUUGUUGGUGGGGUAGUGGCUUACCAAGGCUUUGACGGGUAGCCGGCCUGAGAGGGUGACCGGCCACAUGAGGACUGAGAUACGGCCCAGACUCCUACGGGAGGCAGCAGUGGAGAAUAUUGCACAAUGGGCGGAAGCCUGAUGCAGCAACGCCGCGUGCGGGAUGACGGCCUUCGGGUUGUAAACCGCUUUCGCCUGUGACGAAGCGUGAGUGACGGUAAUGGGUAAAGAAGCACCGGCUAACUACGUG